UUAAGCGACUAAGCGUACACGGUGGAUGCCCUGGCAGUCAGAGGCGAUGAAGGACGUGCUAAUCUGCGAAAAGCGUCGGUAAGGUGAUAUGAACCGUUACAGCCGGCGAUGUCCGAAUGGGGAAACCCAGUGUGAUUCGUCACACUAUCGUUAACUGAAUACAUAGGUUAACGAGGCGAACCGGGGGAACUGAAACAUCUAAGUACCCCGAGGAAAAGAAAUCAACCGAGAUUCCCCCAGUAGCGGCGAGCGAACGGGGAGCAGCCCAGAGUCUGAAUCAGCUUGUGUGUUAGUGGAACGGUCUGGAAAGUCCGACGGUACAGGGUGAUAGUCCCGUACACCAAAAUGCACAGGUUGUGAACUCGAAGAGUAGGGCGGGACACGUGGUAUCCUGUCUGAAUAUGGGGGGACCAUCCUCCAAGGCUAAAUACUCCUGACUGACCGAUAGUGAACCAGUACCGUGAGGGAAAGGCGAAAAGAACCCCGGCGAGGGGAGUGAAAAAGAACCUGAAACCGUGUACGUACAAGCAGUGGGAGCACCUUCGGGUGUGACUGCGUACCUUUUGUAUAAUGGGUCAGCGACUUAUAUUCUGUAGCAAGGUUAACCGUAUAGGGGAGCCGCAGGGAAACCGAGUCUUAACUGGGCGUUAAGUUGCAGGGUAUAGACCCGAAACCCGGUGAUCUAGCCAUGGGCAGGUUGAAGGUUGGGUAACACUAACUGGAGGACCGAACCGACUAAUGUUGAAAAAUUAGCGGAUGACUUGUGGCUGGGGGUGAAAGGCCAAUCAAACCGGGAGAUAGCUGGUUCUCCCCGAAAGCUAUUUAGGUAGCGCCUCGUGAAUUCAUCUUCGGGGGUAGAGCACUGUUUCGGCUAGGGGGUCAUCCCGACUUACCAACCCGAUGCAAACUACGAAUACCGAAGAAUGUUAUCACGGGAGACACACGGCGGGUGCUAACGUCCGUCGUGAAGAGGGAAACAACCCAGACCGCCAGCUAAGGUCCCAAAGUCAUGGUUAAGUGGGAAACGAUGUGGGAAGGCACAGACAGCCAGGAUGUUGGCUUAGAAGCAGCCAUCAUUUAAAGAAAGCGUAAUAGCUCACUGGUCGAGUCGGCCUGCGCGGAAGAUGUAACGGGGCUAAACCAUGCACCGAAGCUGCGGCAGCGACACUAUGUGUUGUUGGGUAGGGGAGCGUUCUGUAAGCCUGCGAAGGUGGCCUGUGAGGGCUGCUGGAGGUAUCAGAAGUGCGAAUGCUGACAUAAGUAACGAUAAAGCGGGUGAAAAGCCCGCUCGCCGGAAGACCAAGGGUUCCUGUCCAACGUUAAUCGGGGCAGGGUGAGUCGACCCCUAAGGCGAGGCCGAAAGGCGUAGUCGAUGGGAAACAGGUUAAUAUUCCUGUACUUGGUGUUACUGCGAAGGGGGGACGGAGAAGGCUAUGUUAGCCGGGCGACGGUUGUCCCGGUUUAAGCAUGUAGGCGGAGGUUCCAGGUAAAUCCGGUACCUUUUAACGCUGAGGUGUGAUGACGAGGCACUACGGUGCUGAAGUAACAAAUGCCCUGCUUCCAGGAAAAGCCUCUAAGCAUCAGGUAACAUUAAAUCGUACCCCAAACCGACACAGGUGGUCAGGUAGAGAAUACCAAGGCGCUUGAGAGAACUCGGGUGAAGGAACUAGGCAAAAUGGUGCCGUAACUUCGGGAGAAGGCACGCUGGUGUGUAGGUGAAGUCCCUGCGGAUGGAGCUGAGACCAGUCGAAGAUACCAGCUGGCUGCAACUGUUUAUUAAAAACACAGCACUGUGCAAACACGAAAGUGGACGUAUACGGUGUGACGCCUGCCCGGUGCCGGAAGGUUAAUUGAUGGGGUUAUCCGUAAGGAGAAGCUCUUGAUCGAAGCCCCGGUAAACGGCGGCCGUAACUAUAACGGUCCUAAGGUAGCGAAAUUCCUUGUCGGGUAAGUUCCGACCUGCACGAAUGGCGUAAUGAUGGCCAGGCUGUCUCCACCCGAGACUCAGUGAAAUUGAACUCGCUGUGAAGAUGCAGUGUACCCGCGGCAAGACGGAAAGACCCCGUGAACCUUUACUAUAGCUUGACACUGAACAUUGAGCCUUGAUGUGUAGGAUAGGUGGGAGGCUUUGAAGCGUGGACGCCAGUCUGCGUGGAGCCAACCUUGAAAUACCACCCUUUAAUGUUUGAUGUUCUAACGU
Molecule: ribosomal RNA, 2200 nt
Filed under: Klebsiella variicola
Lineage: Bacteria; Pseudomonadati; Pseudomonadota; Gammaproteobacteria; Enterobacterales; Enterobacteriaceae
Description: bacterial LSU rRNA
Rfam family: Bacterial large subunit ribosomal RNA
Source: RNAcentral